UCGAACGGCUCCGAAGAGGUAGUAAUACUUUUUCGGGGUAGUGGCGGACGGGUGAGUAAUACAUACGUAAUCUACCCUUAAGAGGGGAACAACCUGCCGAAAGGCGGACUAAUACCCCAUAAGACCACGAACUGAGAUGUUAGUGGUAAAAGCUCCGUAUUAAAUACGGGGUACUUAAGGAUGGACCUGUGGCCUAUCAGGUAGUUGGUGAGGUAAUGGCUCACCAAGCCUAAGACGGGUAGCCGGGCUGAGAGGUCGGACGGCCACACUGGAACUGAGACACGGUCCAGACUCCUACGGGAGGCAGCAGUGGGGAAUCUUGCGCAAUGGGGGAAACCCUGACGCAGCGACGCCGCGUGGAGGAUGAAGGCCUUCGGGUUGUAAACUCCUUUUCUCAGGGAAAAUGGUGAUGGUCACCUGAGGAAUAAGCCACGGCUAACUCUGUGCCAGCAGCCGCGGUAAGACAGAGGUGGCGAGCGUCGUUCGGAAUACUGGGCUUAAAGGGCGAGUACGCGUCCUGGCAAGUCAAAUGUGGAAUCUUUCUGCUUAACGGGAAAAUUGCAUUCGAGACUGUCGGGAUUGAGUCAGUGAGGGGAGGGCGGAAUUCCUGGUGUAGCGGUGAAAUGCGUACAUAUCAGGAGGAAGGCCUGUGGCGAAGGCGGCCCUCUGGUACUGAACUGACGCUGAGGCGCGAAAGCGUGGGUAGCAAACAGGAUUAGAUACCCUGGUAGUCCACGCCCUACACGGUGGGCA
This 753-nucleotide ribosomal RNA is filed under the name uncultured Thermodesulfovibrio sp. RNAcentral describes it as "bacterial SSU rRNA". It matches the Rfam family "Bacterial small subunit ribosomal RNA", at positions 62 to 815 of the family's 1533-position model. The record is from RNAcentral. Lineage: Bacteria; Pseudomonadati; Nitrospirota; Thermodesulfovibrionia; Thermodesulfovibrionales; Thermodesulfovibrionaceae.